ACGGCUCAGUAACACGUGGACAACCUACCCUAUGGAGGGGGAUAACCCCGGGAAACUGGGGAUAAUACCCCAUAGACUAUGAAUGCUGGAAUGCUUUGUAGUUGAAAGGUCCGCCGCCAUAGGAUGGGUCUGCGGCCGAUUAGGUUGUUGUUGGGGUAACGGCCCAACAAGCCUGUAAUCGGUACGGGUUGUGGGAGCAAGAGCCCGGAGAUGGAUUCUGAGACACGAAUCCAGGCCCUACGGGGCGCAGCAGGCGCGAAAACUUUACAAUGCGGGAAACCGUGAUAAGGGAACUCCGAGUGCCCGUAAAAUCGGGCUGUCCAUCUGUUUAAAUAACAGGUGAAGAAAGGGCCGGGCAAGACCGGUGCCAGCCGCCGCGGUAAUACCGGCGGCUCGAGUGGUGGCCACUAUUACUGGGCUUAAAGCGUUCGUAGCUGGUCUGUUAAGUCUCUGGGGAAAUCUACUGGCUUAACCAAUAGACGUUUCAGGGAUACUGGCAGACUAGGGACCGGGAGAGGUGAGAGGUACUCCAGGGGUAGGAGUGAAAUCCUGUAAUCCUUGGGGGACCACCUGUGGCGAAGGCGUCUCACCAGAACGGCUCCGACAGUGAGGGACGAAAGCUGGGGGAGCAAACCGGAUUAGAUACCCGGGUAGUCCCAGCUGUAAACGAUGCGCGUUAGGUGUAUCGAUGACCACGAGUCAUCGAGGUGCCGAAGAGAAAUCGUGAAACGUGCCGCCUGGGAAGUACGGCCGCAAGGCUGAAACUUAAAGGAAUUGGCGGGGGAGCAG
This 789-nucleotide ribosomal RNA is filed under the name uncultured archaeon. RNAcentral describes it as "bacterial SSU rRNA". It matches the Rfam family "Archaeal small subunit ribosomal RNA", at positions 85 to 879 of the family's 1478-position model. The record is from RNAcentral.